This 30-nucleotide non-coding RNA is filed under the name Rattus norvegicus (Norway rat). Lineage: Eukaryota; Metazoa; Chordata; Mammalia; Rodentia; Muridae. The record is from RNAcentral.
UAAUUAUUGCAUGGGCUGUAGGCUUUUCAC